Molecule: ribosomal RNA, 920 nt
Filed under: uncultured bacterium
Lineage: Bacteria
Description: bacterial SSU rRNA
Rfam family: Bacterial small subunit ribosomal RNA
Source: RNAcentral
AGAGUUUGAUCAUGGCUCAGGACGAACGCUGGCGGCGUGCCUAACACAUGCAAGUCGAACGCGCAGCUUUUCCGCCGCAAGGCGGAGGAGCGGGCGCGUGGCGAACGGGUGAGUAACACGUGGGCAACUUGCCUCUGGAUGGGGAAUAACCCCGCGAAAGCGGGGCUAAUACCGCAUAACAUUCCGAUGACCACGGUUGUCGGAAUCAAAGUCCGCAAGGACGUCCGGAGAGAGGCCCGCGCCCGAUUAGCUAGUUGGCGAGGUAACGGCUCACCAAGGCGAUGAUCGGUAGCCGGUCUGAGAGGAUGGCCGGCCACACUGGGACUGAGACACGGCCCAGACUCCUACGGGAGGCAGCAGUGGGGAAUCUUGCGCAAUGGGCGAAAGCCUGACGCAGCGACGCCGCGUGGGGGAUGAAGCCCCUCGGGGUGUAAACCCCUUUCGACCCGGACGAAACGCCGACUUGUCGGCACUGACGGUACGGGUAGAAGCAGCCCCGGCUAACUACGUGCCAGCAGCCGCGGUAAAACGUAGGGGGCCAGCGUUGCUCGGAAUUACUGGGCGUAAAGGGUCCGUAGGCGGUGCGGUAAGUCGGAAGUGAAAUCCCGGGGCUUAACCCCGGGGCUGCUCCCGAAACUGCCGCGCUUGAGUGCGGGAGGGGCGAGUGGAAUUGCCGGUGUAGCGGUGAAAUGCGUAGAUAUCGGCAGGAACACCGGAGGCGAAAGCGGCUCGCUGGACCGCGACUGACGCUGAGGGACGAAAGCUAGGGGAGCAAACAGGAUUAGAUACCCUGGUAGUCCUAGCCCUAAACGAUCAGGACUGGGCGUGAGCCCCGUUCGGGGUUCGUGCCGAAGCUAACGCGUUAAGUCCUGCGCCUGGGGAGUACGGUCGCAAGGCUGAAACUCAAAUGAAUUGACGGG